RNAcentral lists this ribosomal RNA (629 nucleotides) under Staphylococcus aureus. RNAcentral describes it as "partial 23S ribosomal RNA". It matches the Rfam family "Bacterial large subunit ribosomal RNA", at positions 557 to 1188 of the family's 2925-position model. Lineage: Bacteria; Bacillati; Bacillota; Bacilli; Caryophanales; Staphylococcaceae. The record is from RNAcentral.
CGUGUGCUUACAAGUAGUCAGAGCCCGUUAAUGGGUGAUGGCGUGCCUUUUGUAGAAUGAACCGGCGAGUUACGAUUUGAUGCAAGGUUAAGCAGUAAAUGUGGAGCCGUAGCGAAAGCGAGUCUGAAUAGGGCGUUUAGUAUUUGGUCGUAGACCCGAAACCAGGUGAUCUACCCUUGGUCAGGUUGAAGUUCAGGUAACACUGAAUGGAGGACCGAACCGACUUACGUUGAAAAGUGAGCGGAUGAACUGAGGGUAGCGGAGAAAUUCCAAUCGAACCUGGAGAUAGCUGGUUCUCUCCGAAAUAGCUUUAGGGCUAGCCUCAAGUGAUGAUUAUUGGAGGUAGAGCACUGUUUGGACGAGGGGCCCCUCUCGGGUUACCGAAUUCAGACAAACUCCGAAUGCCAAUUAAUUUAACUUGGGAGUCAGAACAUGGGUGAUAAGGUCCGUGUUCGAAAGGGAAACAGCCCAGACCACCAGCUAAGGUCCCAAAAUAUAUGUUAAGUGGAAAAGGAUGUGGCGUUGCCCAGACAACUAGGAUGUUGGCUUAGAAGCAGCCAUCAUUUAAAGAGUGCGUAAUAGCUCACUAGUCGAGUGACACUGCGCCGAAAAUGUACCGGGGCUAAACA